This 567-nucleotide ribosomal RNA is filed under the name uncultured archaeon. RNAcentral's name for it is "bacterial SSU rRNA". It matches the Rfam family "Archaeal small subunit ribosomal RNA", at positions 323 to 895 of the family's 1478-position model. The record is from RNAcentral.
UUACGGGGUGCAGCAGGCGCGAAAACUCUCCAAUGUGCGAAAGCGUGAGAGGGGAAUUCCUAGUGCUCCGGCAUUAGCCGGGGCUUUUGCCAUGUGUAAAUAGCAUGGCGAAUAAGUGGUGGGCAAGACUGGUGCCAGCCGCCGCGGUAACACCAGCGCCACGAGUGGCGAUCACGAUUAUUGGGCCUAAAGCGUUCGUAGCCGGUCUGGUAAAUCUCUUGUGAAAUUGUUCGGCUUAACCGGACAGCGUGCAGGAGACACUGCCAGACUCGAGACCGGGAGGGGUUAGAAGUAUGUCGUGGGGACUGGUAAAAUGGGAUAAUCCACGAUAGACUACCGGUGGCGAAGGCAUCUAACCAGAACGGAUCUGACAGUGAGGAACGAAAGCCAGGGGAGCGAACCGGAUUAGAUACCCGAGUAGUCCUGGCCGUAAACGCUGUGAGCUAGGUGUCGCGUAUCUCACGAAGAUGCGCGGUGUCGAAAUGAAGAUGCUAAGCUCACCGCCUGGGAAGUACGGUUGCAAGACUGAAACUUUAAGGAAUUGGCGGGGGAAUCACUAGUGAAUUC